GAUGAAGAACGUAGCGAAAUGCGAUAAGUAAUGUGAAUUGCAGAAUUCCGUGAAUCAUCGAAUCUUUGAACGCACAUUGCACCCCCUGGUAUUCCGGGGGGCAUGCCUGUCCGAGCGUCAUUGCAACCUUCAAGCGCGGCUUGUGUGUUGGGUCUCGUCCCCCGUGGACGGGCCCGAAAGGCAGUGGCGGCGUCCCGACAUGGUGCCCGAGCGUAUGGGAAUCCUCUUCCGCUCGAAUCGGCCCAUGCGGCGCUGGUCGUAACCAAAUUUUUUACCGGUUGACCUCGGAUCAGGUAGGGAUACCCGCUGAACUUAAGCAUAUCAAUAAGCGGAGGA
RNAcentral lists this unclassified non-coding RNA (336 nucleotides) under soil metagenome. Its description in RNAcentral is "partial contains 5.8S ribosomal RNA, internal transcribed spacer 2, and large subunit ribosomal RNA". The stretch from base 1 to 120 matches the Rfam family "5.8S ribosomal RNA", at positions 35 to 154 of the family's 154-position model. The record is from RNAcentral.